GUGGCGUUAGCUCAGUGGCGAGAGCGCUGUGCUGUGAACACAGAGGACACGAGUUCGAAUCUCGUCCGUCACCCCA
RNAcentral lists this transfer RNA (76 nucleotides) under Chloroflexaceae bacterium. RNAcentral's name for it is "tRNA-His". It matches the Rfam family "tRNA". Rfam says of the family: Transfer RNA (tRNA) molecules are approximately 80 nucleotides in length. Their secondary structure includes four short double-helical elements and three loops (D, anti-codon, and T loops). The record is from RNAcentral. Lineage: Bacteria; Bacillati; Chloroflexota; Chloroflexia; Chloroflexales; Chloroflexaceae.